This 483-nucleotide ribosomal RNA is filed under the name Triticum aestivum (bread wheat). RNAcentral's name for it is "partial small subunit ribosomal RNA". Lineage: Eukaryota; Viridiplantae; Streptophyta; Magnoliopsida; Poales; Poaceae. The record is from RNAcentral.
AUGGACAAACCAAGCAGUCAAGAGCACUAUAUAAGAAACAAGAGCGAUGCUUCCAACAGUAGGAUGGUGAGAUCAAAGGUGACAGUGGAGCUUCACUUUCUACCCGUUGACGUUCUACGCGACAUAUUGUCACGGUUAUCACUCAAGCAAGCCCUGAGAAUGAGCGCACUAUCCCGCGAAUGGUGGCGACUAGGUUUAUGCCACCCCCCCACCCGGAUCUGGUGUUCACUAAAGACACCUUAUUUGGCAGCAAUAAAAUCAUAUACUAUAUUGAUCGGGAAUCCACGGCUGCCGAGUUCAUCACCAGAGUGGAUAAUGUGUUGCGCCCGUUUUGGUCUAGUUCCACCACGACAACUAGUACAGUGGAUAAGUUCGUUGUCGAAUUUGGUCUCACUAGGCAUCACAUGCAUCACAUCGAUAGAUGGAUUAACUUUUCCACCGAGUCAAUGGCCAAGCACAUUGGUCUUGAUCUCAUUGGAUUGA